This 1329-nucleotide ribosomal RNA is filed under the name uncultured archaeon. RNAcentral describes it as "bacterial SSU rRNA". It matches the Rfam family "Archaeal small subunit ribosomal RNA". The record is from RNAcentral.
UCCGGUUGAUCCUGCCGGAGGCUACUGCUAUUGGAAUUCGACUAAGCCAUGCGAGUCAAGGUGUCUUCGGACGCCGGCAAACGGCUCAGUAACACGUAGGUAAUCUACCCUCAGGACUGAGAUAACCCCGGGAAACUGGGGCUAAUACCAGAUAGAUAAAAGAUACUGGAAUGUUCUUUUAUCCAAAGCUUUUGUGCCUGAGGAUGAGCCUGCGCCCGAUUAGGUAGUUGGUGGGGUAAUGGCCCACCAAGCCUGCGAUCGGUACGGGCAGUGGGAGCUGUAGCCCGGAGUUGGGGACUGAGACAAGGCCCCAGGCCCUACGGGGCGCAGCAGGCGCGAAACCUCUGCAAUGCGGGAAACCGUGACAGGGGGAUUCCAAGUGCUCAUGCAUUGCAUGGGCUGUUCUUUGGUCUAAGUAACCAGAGGAGUAAGGGCUGGGCAAGACCGGUGCCAGCCGCCGCGGUAAUACCGGCAGCUCGAGUGGUAGCCGCGAUUAUUGGGCCUAAAACGUUCGUAGCCGGAUAAGUAAGUCUUUGGUUAAAUCCUACGACUUAACCGUGGGAAAUCUAGAGAUACUGCUUGUCUUGAGACCGGGAGAGGUUGGAGGUACUCCCAGGGUAGGGGUGAAAUCCUGUAAUCCUGGGGGGACCACCUGUGGCGNAGGCGUCCAACUGGAACGGCUCCGACAGUGAGGGACGAAAGCUGGGGGAGCAAACCGGAUUAGAUACCCGGGUAGUCCCAGCUGUAAACGAUGCGCGUUAGGUGUAUCGGUGACCACGAGUCACCGAGGUGCCGAAGGGAAACCGUGAAACGUGCCGCCUGGGAAGUACGGUCGCAAGGCUGAAACUUAAAGGAAUUGGCGGGGGAGCACCACAACAGGUGGAGCCUGCGGUUUAAUCGGACUCAACGCCGGGAAGCUCACCGGAUAAGACAGCUGAAUGAUAGCCGGGUUGAAGACUCUGCUUGACUAGCUGAGAGGAGGUGCAUGGCCGUCGUCAGUUCGUACUGUGUAGCAUCCUGUUAAGUCAGGCAACGAGCGAGACCCACGCCCACAGUUGCCAGCGUACUCUCCGGAGUGACGGGUACACUGUGGGGACCGCCGCUGCUAAAGCGGAGGAAGGAAUGGGCAACGGUAGGUCAGUAUGCCCCGAAUAUCCCGGGCUACACGCGAGCUACAAUGGUUGGUACAAUGGGUAUCUACCCCGAAAGGGGAUGGAAAUCUCCUAAAGCCAAUCUUAGUUCGGAUUGAGGGCUGCAACUCGCCCUCAUGAAGCUGGAAUCCGUAGUAAUCGCGUUUCAACAGAACGCGGUGAAUACGUCCCUGCUCCU